This 422-nucleotide long non-coding RNA is filed under the name Gallus gallus (chicken). Lineage: Eukaryota; Metazoa; Chordata; Aves; Galliformes; Phasianidae. The record is from RNAcentral.
CGGGGUCCCACUGCCGUCCCCUGCGGGAUCCCCCGGGCUCUGCCCUACCUCCCCACCGCUUCUCCUGCCCUCUGUGCCGACAGAGCUGUUCCCCACCGGCGCGCACUGCGCCGCGGGUCUCUGCCCGCCCAGCAGCCCCAGCAGCCGCCCGGUGUGCGCCAGCAGCUUCGCGCAGUUGGGCUGCAGGUGGGGCAGGCGGCAGUCCUUCCUCACGGCUCGUGCCACGCGGGCGACGAAACCCCUCAGGGCUCCGUUGGGGACCACCGGGCGCAGGCAGUGCUCCGCUUCGCUUUCAAAGAGGUCUCCUUCUAUCGCUGCGUCCUCAUCCUCCGCGCCGCUCGGCUCCCCGGCGAGAAAACCAAAAUGUUCUGACUGAAUGGAAUGGAAACUGAAAAUGAGGAUACACAACGUGUUAAUUACUG